GCAGCGCCGCCGCUAGGGGGAGGAGUCUGGGCUGGUCUUUCAGCCCGCGGCUUUCCCAAAAUUCUGAGAGUCCAUAGGGUUCCACGUGAAGAGCUAGAGCGAGCCGACGGUGUUGGGAGACUUUCGCUAAGCUCAGGGUGACAGGAGAGGGGACGUGGGGCUGUCAGCAAACCAAGGAUGGCACUUUAAAGAAUGAUGACAGACCUCUAAAGACUGAAUGCAUCUUUGGUUGACAAGAUCACGCUUGGGUGGAUCUUCAUGACCUUUGGUUACCCACUACCUAGUACUAUGCCUGGUAUGUACUGGAUAUCCACUCCACGUUAUUGAAUUGAACUGCUACCUUUCAAACAUGGUGUAACUAAUGGGAGAAAACAAUAGUAGCAGCCUCAGAAGAUUUUCUUUUUAUUGUAAUAUACUUUGGUUCUUUUUCUUCCCACUCCCACGUGCUUAUAUUUCCUGUGAGAAAUAAAAUUUGACCAAAAGCUGUUCCAUUUUAUUUUUACAGACUUAAAACUGAAAAUAUCACUUCAACUGUAUUCUGGUGCUUAGAGUGAGAUUUUGUAAUACUAUCCAAGAUCAUGUUAACAUUUUGACAUUGUCACAUUAUUGAUUGGUUUGUAAAUUCUAUGGUGUUAUCUUGAUGCCAUCAGUAAGUUCACAUAUGUAAAUCAUUAAUAAUAUGUAUCAUUGUCUUUAAAAGUGAUGACGUUGCCAGUCUGAAGUGAAAUUACAAACACAUUUUAUGUUGUCAAAAAAUCUUUUGAGACUAUGUAUUAUGAGAUAUAGAUAAAAUAUAUGAAAGCAGAUGACUAUCUGUACUGUCCAGCGUUUCAUGUGAAAGGUGAGAAUGAUAUGUCUCUCCUAUCAUCCAGCAUUUUUGGCAUUUAAUAUUUAAUGUAACAUUUAACAUAACAUUUAAUAUAAAAAUAAUCCUUUACUCACGAACAUUGUAAUAUCAUUUGCACGCCUUAACUGUACUUAAUUUGAAUGCAUAGAUUUAAAUAUGUAAUGCUUGUUUUAUUUUCAAGUUAGUAUUGUAUAUAAUUUCAUAAAUAUACUGAAAAUGAUGGUUAAAGAAAAUGAGAAAUUGUACAGAAGUAGCAUUUUUUGCUUGUAAUAGUCACUGGGUGGCGCUGUUGUUUAAUAUUAAUCUUACGAUUUUGUGUCAUUUUCUUUUUAUAAGUAAACAAAAUUAAAGUGCUAAACAUUGAACACAA
This is a long non-coding RNA of Cavia porcellus (domestic guinea pig), 1217 nucleotides long. RefSeq lists it as uncharacterized. The record is from RefSeq and is a predicted model, not a curated record. Lineage: Eukaryota; Metazoa; Chordata; Mammalia; Rodentia; Caviidae. The transcript is spliced from 3 exons.